AUGUCAAUGCCAAUUGAAUCAAUCUUAUUAGCUGUCAAUUUGAACUAUUUGGUAUUUUCCGUUUCUUUGGAUGAUAUGAUGGGUCAAUCAUUUGCUUCAUUAGUUCCAGUGGCAGUUGCGGAAUCUGCUAUUGGAUUAGGCAUUUUUGUUAUUACUUUUCGAGUCCGGGGCACUAAUGAUGUCGAAUCUAUAAAUUGCAUUCAAGGUUAA
This 210-nucleotide ribosomal RNA is filed under the name Triticum aestivum (bread wheat). RNAcentral describes it as "partial small subunit ribosomal RNA". The record is from RNAcentral. Lineage: Eukaryota; Viridiplantae; Streptophyta; Magnoliopsida; Poales; Poaceae.